This 38-nucleotide ribosomal RNA is filed under the name Nephroma helveticum. RNAcentral's name for it is "partial large subunit ribosomal RNA". Lineage: Eukaryota; Fungi; Ascomycota; Lecanoromycetes; Peltigerales; Nephromataceae. The record is from RNAcentral.
UUGACCUCGGAUCAGGUAGGGAUACCCGCUGAACUUAC